Molecule: long non-coding RNA, 3515 nt
Filed under: Sus scrofa (pig)
Lineage: Eukaryota; Metazoa; Chordata; Mammalia; Artiodactyla; Suidae
Description: lncRNA (ENSSSCG00000059196.1)
Source: RNAcentral
AAUUUCUUCCUGAGAAGGGGAGAGUGGGAUUUCCAAAUCAAGUUCUGUCACUUUUGCCUGGACUGGCUUUAAUUAACUGGUAAUUCUUCUGGAAAAUGUGGAGAUAGACCAAAUGCCCUCUAAGGUUCCUUCAAACCGGCCUGCUCUUUGCUGAAUGACAGAAUGUAAGACCAGAAAGAGAUCCUGACCAACAAGUCCAGUUUCUUCACAUAACAGUGAGGGAACCAAGGUAUAUGGAGUAAAGGUGGUUCACAUUAUUGUCAUAAUUAUGAGGAAAAGACAAACAUGUUGCUUUCUAGUCCCAUCUUGCUCUUAAAAAAAAACAAACAAAAAGCACAUUGUGAAAAUAUCAUGUAUUCAAGAGUUGUAAAGUAUCUAUGUGCAAUUCAGUACCUCAGAAGCUUCAUAAACCCCUCCUUCUGAUCACAUUCCCUUUCUAUCCCUAGGGAAGAAACCAUGCUCUUGAAUAGUUUAUUAAUCAUUCUCAUGCUUUUCCAUAUAGUUACACAAUAUAUUUUAAUGUCAUAGAAAUUGACAAUACUAGAUUAUUCUUUGGUGGCUUUUUUCUUUCAUUCAACAUGGUUUUGAGGUUCAACCAUGUCAGUGCCCUACUUGUUGCUUAUUCAUUUUCCUUUUGAUCUACUAUUUCACUGUAUGAACAUACCAUCAUCUAUCCAUUAUGCUGUUGAUGGACUUUGGAUUAUAUCUGGCUGGAAUUUUUUGUUUGUUUUGAUUUGUUUUGUGUGUGAUUUUCACAUAUGCGAGUUUCUCAACUCUGGAGUUGAUAUGUGAAGGCAGAGCCAGCAAUUGCGAAAGUGACAUUUGAGCUGAAUCUUGGAAGGAGAUGUGAGGAUUGUCAGAAGAGUGUUCCAAAGAGAAGGAUCAAUAUACAGAGGCUCCAGGGAGAGAAGUCUUGUAGUGGUCUAGAUGAAGAGCAAGAAGGUCCAGUGGGUAGGGCAUUGGGAACCCAUGGGAGAGUGGUAAGAGAUCUAAAAGGUAGCAAAAGUCAGAUCAUUUGGACAUCAUGUAAAGGUAGAUGCAAUUGAAGUCUGGUGAAGAGGCCUCUCUGGGUGAUGCAUGGAGAAUGGGUUAUAUCGGGGACAAAACAUAAGGCCUGGAGAGCAAUGAGGAGGCUGCUGUGGUUGUCCAGGCAAGAAAUAGUAGAGGCUUAGAUAAGGAAUAUUGGAUAUGGAGAGAUUUGACUGACUCAGAAGUAUUUUCAAGAUAGAGAGAGGUGGAUUGGAUAUGAAGGGUAAGAAAAAGAGAGCAGUCUAGCUGGAAUCCUACAUUUUUACCUUGAAAAACAAGGCAACUAGUCAUGGGCGUUACUGAGAUGCAGAAGGCUAGGGGAAGGACAGAGGGAGUUACCAUGAUGCAGAAUGCUAGGGGAAGCAGUAGAGAAAAUAAAUGUUUUUAUUGUGGCAGUGUUAGGUUUGAGAUGCUAAAUAGACAUCCAGGGGGAGUACCUGGUAGGCAGUUGGAUCUGUGAAUCUGGAGAAGUAAGUUUGGAGUAGUUGGCAUAUCCCUGGUAGUUAGAAUCCUGGGAUAGGUUAAGACUCCUAGAGGAAGUAUACAAGGGAAGAGGUCCAAGAUCUUACCCUCAGGUACCCCCAACAGUUUGGGGACAAGCUGAGGGAGAAAAGGUAGCAAAGGAUGUGGAAGCAUAAAGAGUACCAAAAGGCUGGUAUAUAGAAGCAUGGAGAUGAGACUUUCUGGAAGGAAUGUCUGAGGUCAGAUCAGAUGAGGACAAAGUAAGGAUAGAUAGAUGGUAUCCUUAGAAAAAACCACUUUACCUAAGUGGAGGAUGAUACCUAACCAGAGUGGAUGCAAGUGAAUAUGGAGGUUAGAAAGUGGAGACUGUGAUCAAGAUCAAUGAAGGGAAGAAGAAAUACAGCUGGGAGCUAGAGAGGGAUAUCUGGUGAGAGGAGGGCUUUGUUUAUUGAAGAUGGAAGAGGUUAGAGAACGUUUACGUGCUGAUGGGAAGAUUCCUCUAGAGAGAGAAACAGUGGCAUAGCAGGGUGGCCAUGAAAGGAGAAAGCCUUUGAGAAAGUCUGAGAGGACCCCAACACACGAGGAAGAGUAAACUUGUGAAUUGAGCAAAGGUGCUCACAAAGAUUUAUAUUUAAUAUGCUCAUUAUAGAGUAAUUUCUAACAGGAAACUCUGGGAAACAACCUCCAUGUUCCACAAUAGGAGAAUACUAUCUUAAAAAUUACAGCAGGGGGACUCUGCAAGCAGAGACGGGAUUAAGAUGGCAGAAUAGAAGGACUGGAGCUCAACUUCUCUCCUAAAAACAACAAAAUUCACAACUAAAGACUGAGCACACUUCACCAAAAUGGACCAGAAACCUUAAAAAAGAUACCCUACUCCAGAAGAAAAAGAGGAGGGCACAUCAAGAGGUAGGAGGGGUGAUUUCAUGAUAUAAAAAACCCCAUACCUCCUGGGUGGGAGCUCCACAGACUGGAAACUAACUGGUUCACAGAGACUCACCUACAGGAGUGAGAGUUCUGAGCCACACAUCAAACUCUCAUGUAUGGGGAUCUGGCACAGGGAGAAAGCGCCCCGGAGCAUCUGGCAUUAAAGGCCACUGGGGCUUGUGUGCAGGAGCUCCACAGGACUGGGGGAAACAGAGACCCCAUUCUUAAAAGGCGCACACAGACUUUCACGUGCACUGAGUCCCAGGGCAAAGCAAAGUCUCCAAGGGAAUCUGGGUCAAACCUGACUGCAGUUCUUGGAGGACCUUCCUGGGAAAACAGGGGUGAAUGUGGCUUGUUGUGAGGGAAGGACAUUGAAAGCAAAGCUUUCGGGAAUAUUCAGCAGCAGUGUCUUUCUCUGGAGGUGGCCCUUUUGGGAAAAUCUGGCCCCACCAUCAGCCAGCUGCUGAGAAGCCCCAGGCCAAACAACCCAGGUGAGAUCACAGCCCCACCCCUCAGUAAACAGGCUGCCUAAAGACCCCUCAGGCACACAGCUGCCUCUAAUCCCAACCAGAGACUAAGCCCCACCCACCAGAGGGAUUAGAAUGGGCUCCUCCUACCAGAGGGCAGGCAUCAGCCCCUCCCAUCAGGAAGCCUACACCAAGCCCCCAUACCGACUUCAGCCACAGGGGGGCAGACAUCAGAAGUAAGAGAGGCUACAACUCUAUUAUCUGUAAAAAGGUCACCACACCAAAAACCUAUAAAAAUGAAAAGGCAGAGAACUAUAACUCAGAUGCGGGAGAAAGAAAAAACCCCAAAAAAACAGUUAAGCCAUGAGGAGAUUCUCAGCCUCCAGGAAAAAGACUUUAGAUUGUUGAUGCUGAAGAAGAUGCAAGACAUUGGAAAUAAACUGGAGGCAAAAAUGGAUAACUUACAGGAAACACUGACCAAAGAGAUACAAGAUAUAAAACUGAAACAAGAAGAGAUGCAAAAUACAAUAACUGAAAUAAAAAAUUCACUAGAAGCAGCUAACAGCAGAAUACAGGAGGCAGAAGAACGAAUAAGCGAGGUGGAGGACAGAUUAGUGGAAAUUACGGAUGCAG